This is a long non-coding RNA of Canis lupus familiaris (dog), 697 nucleotides long. RefSeq lists it as uncharacterized. The transcript has 3 exons. Lineage: Eukaryota; Metazoa; Chordata; Mammalia; Carnivora; Canidae. The record is from RefSeq and is a predicted model, not a curated record.
AUGAAAAGGCUGGAAUAGGAAGACCAAAGAGGUGGUUCCCUGGGGCAGAUACCAGGAAUGCUUAUGGUGGCCCCAUUUUAUGGGUCCUUGAAGGCAAAGGCAUUUAAAUAUUACCUGUUGCAGUAUGGGACCAACAGUAGUGUUGAGCAGAGUGGCAUCUAGGGAGGUCAAGUCACUCGUAGGUUAGGGAUGGAGGUGGGGGAUAGAGCAGGAUGCAGGCAGAGCUACUGCCAAGUUAAAAGAAAAGAUAAGGGUAAGACGGAUGAAAAUGAAGAGUGAUCACAAGAUACCCCACACAGGAAGACUUUGGGACUUGGUUUACUGAAGUAAUUAAGGCCCCUCACGACAAUUUGGAACCUGGCCCUCGUUGAACCUGUAGAUCAUCACUGCUGGCAUGACGGCCAUUGUUAACACUUGUGAAACGGGACACGAGCAUCCAGAACCUUCUGGAAAGGAUGUCCGCUGGAAGCAUUCACUGCUCUCUGCCAGCACUACAUCCCUUGGCAGUAGGAUUCUCUAACAACUGAGCUCAGCACCAUGGAGCCCAUCCAUCUCUGACAGUCUUCCAGCCACUGAUAGUCAAGUGUGUAGCCUGGCUGAGGACGGAUACAACGAGGGCAGUCAGCAACUUGCUGCAGCCCAUCUUGCCAGGUGGUUAACUUUUCAGAGCCACACUUCUCAUUCUAAAUUAGAUAAA